This 393-nucleotide ribosomal RNA is filed under the name uncultured bacterium. Its description in RNAcentral is "bacterial SSU rRNA". It matches the Rfam family "Bacterial small subunit ribosomal RNA", at positions 362 to 769 of the family's 1533-position model. The record is from RNAcentral.
UCUUGCGCAAUGGGCGAAAGCCUGACGCAGCGACGCCGCGUGCGGGAUGAAGGCCUUCGGGUCGUAAACCGCUGUCGGGAGGGACGAAGCUCUGACGGUACCUCCAAAGGAAGCCCCGGCCAACUACGUGCCAGCAGCCGCGGUAACACGUAGGGGGCGCGCGUUGUCCGGCUUUAUUGGGCGUAAAGAGCUCGUAGGCGGCUCGGUAAGUCGGGUGUGAAACCUCCAGGCUCAACCUGGAGACGCCACCUGAUACUGCUGUGGCUAGAGUCCGGUAGGGGAGCGUGGAACUCCUGGUGUAGCGGUGAAAUGCGCAGAUAUCAGGAAGAACACCAGCGGCGAAGGCGGCGCUCUGGGCCGGAACUGACGCUGAGGAGCGAAAGCGUGGGUAGC